CUAACACAUGCAAGUCGACGUGAAAGCCAAGCUUGCUUGGUGGAUCAGUGGCGAACGGGUGAGUAACACGUGAGCAACCUGCCCUGGACUCUGGGAUAAGCGCUGGAAACGGUGUCUAAUACUGGAUAUGAGCUCUCAUCGCAUGGUGGGGGUUGGAAAGAUUUUUCGGUCUGGGAUGGGCUCGCGGCCUAUCAGCUUGUUGGUGAGGUAAUGGCUCACCAAGGCGUCGACGGGUAGCCGGCCUGAGAGGGUGACCGGCCACACUGGGACUGAGACACGGCCCAGACUCCUACGGGAGGCAGCAGUGGGGAAUAUUGCACAAUGGGCGGAAGCCUGAUGCAGCAACGCCGCGUGAGGGAUGACGGCCUUCGGGUUGUAAACCUCUUUUAGCAGGGAAGAAGCGAGAGUGACGGUACCUGCAGAAAAAGCGCCGGCUAACUACGUGCCAGCAGCCGCGGUAAUACGUAGGGCGCAAGCGUUAUCCGGAAUUAUUGGGCGUAAAGAGCUCGUAGGCGGUUUGUCGCGUCUGCUGUGAAAUCCCGAGGCUCAACCUCGGGCCUGCAGUGGGUACGGGCAGACUAGAGUGCGGUAGGGGAGAUUGGAAUUCCUGGUGUAGCGGUGGAAUGCGCAGAUAUCAGGAGGAACACCGAUGGCGAAGGCAGAUCUCUGGGCCGUAACUGACGCUGAGGAGCGAAAGGGUGGGGAGCAAACAGGCUUAGAUACCCUGGUAGUCCACCCCGUAAACGUUGGGAACUAGUUGUGGGGACCAUUCCACGGUUUCCGUGACGCAGCUAACGCAUUAAGUUCCCCGCCUGGGGAGUACGGCCGCAAGGCUAAAACUCAAAGGAAUUGACGGGGACCCGCACAAGCGGCGGAGCAUGCGGAUUAAUUCGAUGCAACGCGAAGAACCUUACCAAGGCUUGACAUACACCAGAACACCGUAGAAAUACGGGACUCUUUGGACACUGGUGAACAGGUGGUGCAUGGUUGUCGUCAGCUCGUGUCGUGAGAUGUUGGGUUAAGUCCCGCAACGAGCGCAACCCUCGUUCUAUGUUGCCAGCACGUAAUGGUGGGAACUCAUGGGAUACUGCCGGGGUCAACUCGGAGGAAGGUGGGGAUGACGUCAAAUCAUCAUGCCCCUUAUGUCUUGGGCUUCACGCAUGCUACAAUGGCCGGUACAAAGGGCUGCAAUACCGUGAGGUGGAGCGAAUCCCAAAAAGCCGGUCCCAGUUCGGAUUGAGGUCUGCAACUCGACCUCAUGAAGUCGGAGUCGCUAGUAAUCGCAGAUCAGCAACGCUGCGGUGAAUACGUUCCCGGGUCUUGUACACACCGCCCGUCAAGUCAUGAAAGUCGGUAACACCUGAAGCCGGUGGCCCAACCCUUGUGGAGGGAGCCGUCGAAGGUGGGAUCGGUAAUUAGG
This 1420-nucleotide ribosomal RNA is filed under the name Microbacterium hominis. Its description in RNAcentral is "16S ribosomal RNA". It matches the Rfam family "Bacterial small subunit ribosomal RNA". The record is from RNAcentral. Lineage: Bacteria; Bacillati; Actinomycetota; Actinomycetes; Micrococcales; Microbacteriaceae.